AACGAACGCUGGCGGCGCGCCUAACACAUGCAAGUCGAACGAGAAGGCGUAGCGAAUACGCUUGUAGAGUGGCGAACGGGUGAGUAAUACGUGGGUGACCUACCCUCGAGUGGGGAAUAACCCGCCGAAAGGCGGGCUAAUGCCGCGUACGCUUCCGUCCUCACGGGGACGAAGGAAAGCGUGUACCGUGGGUACGCGCUCAAGGAUGGGCUCACGUCCUAUCAGCUUGUUGGUAGGGUAACGGCCACCAAGGCUACGACGGUAGCUGGUCUGAGAGGACGAUCAGCCACACUGGGACUGAGACA
RNAcentral lists this ribosomal RNA (305 nucleotides) under uncultured bacterium. RNAcentral's name for it is "bacterial SSU rRNA". It matches the Rfam family "Bacterial small subunit ribosomal RNA", at positions 29 to 326 of the family's 1533-position model. The record is from RNAcentral.